UACGAAGGGGGCGAGCGUUAUUCGGAAUCACUGGGCGUAAAGCGUGCGUAGGCCGUUCUGUAAGUUGGAAGUGAAAGCCCAGGGCUCAACCCUGGAAUUGCUUUCAAAACUACAGAACUAGAAUCUCGGAGAGGAUAGCGGAAUUCCCAGUGUAGUAGUGAAAUACGUAGAUAUUGGGAGGAACACCAGUGGCGCAAGCGGCUAUCUGGACGAGUAUUGACGCUGAGGCACGAAAGCGUGGGGAUCAAACAGG
This 253-nucleotide ribosomal RNA is filed under the name uncultured bacterium. RNAcentral's name for it is "partial 16S ribosomal RNA". It matches the Rfam family "Bacterial small subunit ribosomal RNA", at positions 524 to 776 of the family's 1533-position model. The record is from RNAcentral.